UCUUCUGUUUUUCAGCAACAGCCAGAAGGUCAGAGCAAUCAUUCUGUACCCACUGCCGUGCAAACACCUUUGGCUUAAAUGCCAGUGUGCCAGAGUGGAGCCAGGAAGGGGGUAGGCAGAGAUGGUGGUCCUGUGCCACACAGUCUGUUCCAGGUGAUGGACACCUGGAUCCACCAAGAGGCGAUCCCAUCCAUUCCUGCCUUGUUUGCUCUGUCUCCAUCCCUUUAAAGAGUUUAAUUUUUUUCCAAGCUGGGGCAGUGUGCAACAGGCUGAGGCAGGAGGACCCCUACAGUUCUGAAGCCCACCCGAGCUGCUUCGUGAAGAUUAGGUCAGACUGGACCAUUGAACGAGACACUCUCUGGAAACAAAACAAAUAUCCCCAAAGCUUCUCCUCCAGAAUCUCUGUGAGUCUGUUCUGUAAAAGUCAUUUGCAGUAUCUAGAACUCAAGCUGCUCAGACAGCCUGAUGUGGCCCCUGCUAACUCUUCCCUGGCUUGCUUUGCACCACCGACUCCUGGUAAAACUGUAAAAUAAAUGUCAUGAAAACACACACACUCACAGAUCUCACCUGAGAGGGAAUCAGAAAGACAGUC
Mastomys coucha (southern multimammate mouse) is the source of this 592-nucleotide long non-coding RNA. RefSeq lists it as uncharacterized. The record is from RefSeq and is a predicted model, not a curated record. The transcript is spliced from 2 exons. NCBI's taxonomy places the organism in Eukaryota, Metazoa, Chordata, Mammalia, Rodentia, Muridae.